UUGCAGAAGGUUUUGAACAAUGGCGGCUCUGCAGAGCUCCUUUACUGGUCUCUCCAUCUCCUCCACCUCCUUCUUCGGCCAACGCUUCUCUCCUCCUCUCUCCCUUCCUCUGGUUAAAUCAGCAGAAGGUCCAUGUUUGAUUACAGCAAAGCUUAAGCGAUGGGAGCGUAAAGAAUGUAAGCCAAACAGCCUUCCAGUACUACACAAAAUGCAUGUAAGGCUGGGUGAUACUGUAAAGGUAAUCUCCGGCCAUGACAAAGGUAAAAUUGGAGAGAUUACCGAGAUCAUCAAGCACAACAGCAAAAUAGUAGUAAAAGAGGUGAACUUGAAAACCAAGCAUGUGAAGAGUCGGAGUGAGGAGGAACCAGGCCAGAUAGUCAAGAUUGAAGCUCCUAUUCACAGCUCAAACGUGAUGCUUUAUUCAAAAGAGCAGAAGGUAGCCAGUCGGGUUGGUCACAAAACUUUAGACAAUGGAAAAAGAGUCCGGUACCUCAUUAAAACUGGGGAAAUCAUCGAUAGUGCAGAGAACUGGAAGAAAGCAGUCAAAGAGAAGGGGAAAACAACAGAAGCAGUAGCUGCUGCUUCCUAGGAGAUCCACUGGUCUGUAAAUUCUAGUUCGAUUUUGCUAAUUUUGAAUCUUCUCUCAUUGAUAUAUUAUGAUUCUGUUGUCACCUUCACCUUUUUAACUCAGUAACAUAAGAUUUUAUAUUAAAG
This 714-nucleotide unclassified non-coding RNA is filed under the name Hevea brasiliensis (rubber tree). Lineage: Eukaryota; Viridiplantae; Streptophyta; Magnoliopsida; Malpighiales; Euphorbiaceae. The record is from RNAcentral.